UACGUAGGGUGCAAGCGUUGUCCGGAAUUAUUGGGCGUAAAGGGUGCGUAGGCGGUUUGGUAAGUCUGAUGUGAAAUCUAUGGGCUCAACUCAUAGUCUGCAUCGGAAACUGCCGGGCUUGAGUGUGGGAGAGGUGAGUGGAAUUCCUGGUGUAGCGGUGAAAUGCGUAGAUAUCAGGAGGAACACCUGUGGCGAAAGCGGCUCACUGGACCAUAACUGACGCUGAUGCACGAAAGCUAGGGGAGCAAACAGG
RNAcentral lists this ribosomal RNA (253 nucleotides) under uncultured bacterium. RNAcentral's name for it is "partial 16S ribosomal RNA". It matches the Rfam family "Bacterial small subunit ribosomal RNA", at positions 524 to 776 of the family's 1533-position model. The record is from RNAcentral.